GUAAAGUUAGUUUAGUAAAAAUACUGGAUUGUGGAUUCAGAGAAGAAUGUUUAAUUUACUUUAUU
Molecule: transfer RNA, 65 nt
Filed under: Cirroteuthis muelleri
Lineage: Eukaryota; Metazoa; Mollusca; Cephalopoda; Octopoda; Cirroteuthidae
Description: tRNA-His
Source: RNAcentral